UAUAACCCCACGACUCUUAUUUAAUCAAAAUUAUGCAAAUAAUACACUUUAAAUAGCAAGGAUGUCACACAUCUCUUUCAAAACAACAUAUUACUCAAAAUAAAUUUAAAAAAAUACGCAGCUGAUUAAACUCAACAUGAAUAACUGAAAAUCUCAAAAUAAAUUAGUCCAAACUCAAGCAUAAGAGAAUCAGUCUCAGAAUAAUAAAACACACAUGAUAGACAAAUCAUGUC
RNAcentral lists this long non-coding RNA (233 nucleotides) under Lathyrus oleraceus (garden pea). RNAcentral describes it as "Pisum sativum (pea) long non-coding RNA (PSAT_LNC026742)". Lineage: Eukaryota; Viridiplantae; Streptophyta; Magnoliopsida; Fabales; Fabaceae. The record is from RNAcentral.